Non-coding RNA from Phalacrocorax carbo (great cormorant), 974 nucleotides. Lineage: Eukaryota; Metazoa; Chordata; Aves; Suliformes; Phalacrocoracidae. The record is from RefSeq and is a predicted model, not a curated record.
AGACCCAUACAACCCGGGAGUAUGAAGAGAGUAUGAAAAUAGUAAUAGGAGAAAAUGAGGCAGAGACUACACCGUAUUGUAAGGGUCUGGGGGCAGAUCUACAGCCGAUGGAAAUCAGGAAGCAAGCACGCGGUGAAUUAUCCCUGAAUUAUCACUGACACUGGACAUAAAUGGAAUUCAGUCAAGUUCCAACUCCAAACAGCAGGCCUGAGGAGAUUUCUUACAUGUUUCCUUCUAGCUUAGAAGACACCAAGCUCCUUUUUGCAACGUGUUAUGCUGGUGACCGGAUAGUUCUAGGGGCUAAUGAGGAGAGAUAAAAUGACAGUGAACCCAGUGACCGUUUCACAUCUAAUCCAGGUUUCGCGCCAGUGCAGUUUUCCCAGGCGAUGGUCCUCUGCAGGUCAGUGGCUUGCUUCAGGAGACCACUCCGCUCUCCAGCACUGACUACAGCUCCUGCUUAAAUGGCAAGGCCUUAAGUAUGCUCUUACAGGGAGAGAAACGGAGAUACUGAAGAAGAGAAAGACAAAGGGGAAAGUGUUGUUCUGGGGAUUGCAUAGAUCUCAAAACUUCGCUACAAGAUUUUACCAGCACACUCAUCAAUUUCAUGUUAGAUAUCGUGCGAGGCCCAACACCGCACAGCGCUGGAUCCUCCCCUCCUUUGUAGCCCUGCUUUGUGAGCCGCUGAGGACCGGCAGCAUUCCCCACGGCGGGCCGCCGUCUAUCGAGGGAGAUGGAUGGGCUCUGCUCCCAGCCGCUCCCAAUGCUCCCGCCUCGCCGGGAAACGGCCAGACCCGCUGAAUUUCAGCCAUUGAGCCCUUCCCCUCCCUCCUUUCCUCUCUCCCGCUUUCUUUCCCGCGUGGCCUGAGGGUUCGCCUGGCUGAGGGGCUGCCUUGCUGUGGGCAGGCUUUGACUGCAGCUCCCGGUGCUGGGGGGAGAAGUGGGCGCAGCGAGGGCUGCGGGCUGGGCUGAGUUUG